UACGUAGGACCCACGCGUUAUUCGGAAUUACUGGGCGUAAAGAGUUGCGUAGGUGGCAUAGUAAGUGGAUAGUGAAAUCGUGUGGCUCAACCAUAUAAACAUUAUCUAAACUGCUAAGCUAGAGUGAGAUAGAGGUAACUGGAAUUCCAAGUGUAGGAGUGAAAUCCGUAGAUAUUUGGAGGAACACCGAUGGCGUAGGCAGGUUACUGGAUCUCAACUGACACUGAGGCACGAAGGCGUGGGGAGCAAACGGG
Molecule: ribosomal RNA, 254 nt
Filed under: uncultured bacterium
Lineage: Bacteria
Description: partial 16S ribosomal RNA
Rfam family: Bacterial small subunit ribosomal RNA
Source: RNAcentral